RNAcentral lists this ribosomal RNA (216 nucleotides) under Glomeromycotina sp. RNAcentral describes it as "partial small subunit ribosomal RNA". The stretch from base 40 to 216 matches the Rfam family "Eukaryotic small subunit ribosomal RNA", at positions 686 to 864 of the family's 1831-position model. Lineage: Eukaryota; Fungi; Glomeromycota. The record is from RNAcentral.
GGGUCAGUAGGUUGGUCGUGCCACCGGUACGUACUGGUCUCACUGAUUCCUCCUUCCUGAAGAACCGUAAUGCCAUUAAUUUGGUGUUGCGGGGAAACAGGACUGUUACUUUGAAAAAAUUGGAGUGUUUAAAGCAAGCUAACGCUUGAAUACGUUAGCAUGGAAUAAUGAAAUAGGACGAUCGAUCCUAUUUUGUUGGUUUCUAGGAUUGACGUA